GACGAACGCUGGCGGCGUGCUUAACACAUGCAAGUCGAGCGGUAAGGCCCUUUUGGGGGUACACGAGCGGCGAACGGGUGAGUAACACGUGGGUGACCUGCCCUCAGCUCUGGGAUAAGCCUGGGAAACUGGGUCUAAUACUGGAUAUGACCUUUCCUCGCAUGGGGUUGGGUGGAAAGUUUUUCGGCUGGGGAUGGGCCCGCGGCCUAUCAGCUUGUUGGUGGGGUGAUGGCCUACCAAGGCGACGACGGGUAGCCGGCCUGAGAGGGCGACCGGCCACACUGGGACUGAGACACGGCCCAGACUCCUACGGGAGGCAGCAGUGGGGAAUAUUGCGCAAUGGGCGGAAGCCUGACGCAGCGACGCCGCGUGGGGGUGACGGCCUUCUGGUUGUAAACCUCUUUCGACC
This 409-nucleotide ribosomal RNA is filed under the name uncultured bacterium. RNAcentral describes it as "bacterial SSU rRNA". It matches the Rfam family "Bacterial small subunit ribosomal RNA", at positions 28 to 441 of the family's 1533-position model. The record is from RNAcentral.